This 376-nucleotide ribosomal RNA is filed under the name uncultured bacterium. RNAcentral describes it as "bacterial SSU rRNA". It matches the Rfam family "Bacterial small subunit ribosomal RNA", at positions 28 to 403 of the family's 1533-position model. The record is from RNAcentral.
GAUGAACGCUAGCGGCAGGCUUAAUACAUGCAAGUCGAACGGUAAGUGUUAUAGCAAUAUAGCACGAGAGUGACGUACGGGUGCGUAACACGUAUGCAACCUACCUUGUACAGGAGGAUAGCUCGGGGAAACUCGAAUUAACCCUCCAUAAGAUCAUAGAAUGGCAUCAUUUAGUGAUAAAACUUAGGUGGUACAAGAUGGGCAUGCGUCUGANAGUUAGUUGGUGGGGUAAUGGCUCACCAAGACGAUGAUCAGUAGGGGACCUGAGAGGGUGAUCCCCCANACUGGCACUGAGAGUACGGGCCAGACUCCUACGGGAGGCAGCAGUAGGGAAUAUUGGUCAAUGGAUGGAAGUCUGAACCAGCCAUGCCGCGUG